Molecule: long non-coding RNA, 864 nt
Organism: Mus musculus (house mouse)
Lineage: Eukaryota; Metazoa; Chordata; Mammalia; Rodentia; Muridae
Product: predicted gene, 33004
Exons: 3
Source: RefSeq, a predicted model, not a curated record
ACAACACCCCAGCAGUGAGAACUCAGUGUGCAUGUGAGUCAAGUGGCCAUAAAGACUCUGCCCACAACCUCAGGUGAUGAGGUGGAGAAGGACUACCCUGGAGUUCAAACACAUGGAGGAGGGGUCCAGGCGGUUCAGAGUCAGGCUGCCAACCUUCAUCCAACUUUAGUGCAGAAGAGAGGCUACUGCUUGCCAUCUAGUGCUGGGCUGUCUUGAUAUCUGUUGGCAGUGUUUGAAUGUCCUUCCAUGCUGAUCAGGACUCUGGAGUCAGCUACUCAGGAGCAGUGUGGUCCAAGAAAGUCCCACUAUAGGAAAAACUUCAGAGAGGAUGCCAUUCUGAACCAAUGAGAACCCUCAUAUGAUCAAGAACGUCUUUGUAUGUAGAAGACUUUAUUGGAAGAAGACAAGAGUCACAUCAAACCUGCUCCCGGGGACUGAGAAGGCAAACUUGUUGCUAGAGCAGCACCUGAAACUGUCUAUGACCAAAUACUUGACAAGAAGCAACUUACAGAAGAAAAUACUGGGGCUGGAGAUUAGCUUAGUCAGUAGAAUGCUUUCCCAGCAUGCAUGAAGCCCUGGGUCCAAUCCCCAGCCCCACACAAAAGCAGAAGGAUCAGAAGUGCAUUGCUCUGGUAGCCAGCUUAGAACAGGCGAGACCCUUUAUAGGGUGGAGAGAUCUAUUUUGGCACAUGGAGUAGCCCAUCCAUCUCUGUUGGGAAAAUAUUUUCCAACUGGCAAAAGAUGUGGUACAGGCAUAGUGGCAGAAACUGCUUGAGGCUGAAGCAGUAGGAGUGUGAAACUGCUUGGUCACAUCUAGAUGGAUGAACAAAUGGAGCAAAACAGAUGCUGGUAACUCACCUGGCU